This 623-nucleotide ribosomal RNA is filed under the name Mucor hiemalis. RNAcentral describes it as "eukaryotic LSU rRNA". The stretch from base 229 to 381 matches the Rfam family "5.8S ribosomal RNA". Lineage: Eukaryota; Fungi; Mucoromycota; Mucoromycetes; Mucorales; Mucoraceae. The record is from RNAcentral.
AUUAAUAAUUUAGAUGGCCUUUGCUAGUUUUCUAGCGAAUGGUUCAUUCUUUUUUACUGUGAACUGUUUUAAUUUUUCAGCGUCUGAGGAAUGUCUUUUAGCCAUAGGGAUAGGCUACUAGAAUGUUAACCGAGCUGAAAGUCAGGCUUAGGCCUGGUAUCCUAUUAAUUAUUUACCAAAAGAAUUCAGUAUUAUAAUUGUAACAUAAGCGUAAAAAACUUAUAAAACAACUUUUAACAACGGAUCUCUUGGUUCUCGCAUCGAUGAAGAACGUAGCAAAGUGCGAUAACUAGUGUGAAUUGCAUAUUCAGUGAAUCAUCGAGUCUUUGAACGCAACUUGCGCUCAAUGGUAUUCCAUUGAGCACGCCUGUUUCAGUAUCAAAAACACCCCACAUUCAUAAUUUUGUUGUGAAUGGAAAUGAGAGUUUCGGCUUUAUUGCUGAAUUCUUUAAAAUUAUUAGGCCUGAACUAUUGUUCUUUCUGCCUGAACAUUUUUUUAAUAUAAAGGAAUGCUCUAGUAAAAAGACUAUCUCUGGGGCCUCCCAAAUAAAUCAUUCUUAAAUUUGAUCUGAAAUCAGGCGGGAUUACCCGCUGAACUUAAGCAUAUCAAUAAGCCGGGAGGA